RNAcentral lists this antisense RNA (69 nucleotides) under Micromonospora sediminicola. Its description in RNAcentral is "ASpks TB sRNA". It matches the Rfam family "ASpks TB sRNA". Lineage: Bacteria; Bacillati; Actinomycetota; Actinomycetes; Micromonosporales; Micromonosporaceae. The record is from RNAcentral.
CUUGAUCGACCCCAGGAGCAGCGGCGUCUCGCGGUCCUGGCCGUAGGUGGCCAGCAGCGCCUGCGCCUC